AGCUCCAAUAGCGUAUAUUAAAGUUGUUGCAGUUAAAAAGCUCGUAGUUGAAUUUCUGUCACAUGUGAGCCAGCACGCUAACAGUGUUGCUCGGUUUGCAUUGAUAUCUUUCGGGUUGCGUCGACGACUUCACUGCCGUCGGCGAUAUCCUGGACCGUUACUUUGAGAAAAUUAGAGUGUUUCAAGCAGGCAUUUGCCUUGAAUACUGCAGCAUGGAAUAAUAAGAUAGGACUUUGGUUCUUUCUUGUUGGUUCGAAGGACUAAGGUAAUGAUUAACAGGGACAGUCGGGGGCAUUCGUAUUCAACUGUCAGAGGUGAAAUUCUUAGAUUUGUUGAAGACGAACUACUGCGAAAGCAUUUGCCAAGGAUGUUCCCA
Molecule: ribosomal RNA, 376 nt
Filed under: uncultured eukaryote
Lineage: Eukaryota
Description: SSU rRNA
Rfam family: Eukaryotic small subunit ribosomal RNA
Source: RNAcentral